CAACGCCGCGUGGAUGAUGAAGGCCUUCGGGUCGUAAAAUCCUUUUCAACGGGAAGAAACGGACGGUACCGUUGGAAUAAGCGUCGGCUAACUACGUGC
Molecule: ribosomal RNA, 99 nt
Filed under: uncultured bacterium
Lineage: Bacteria
Description: partial 16S ribosomal RNA
Rfam family: Bacterial small subunit ribosomal RNA
Source: RNAcentral